RNAcentral lists this long non-coding RNA (541 nucleotides) under Homo sapiens (human). RNAcentral's name for it is "non-protein coding lnc-IDO2-1:3". The record is from RNAcentral. Lineage: Eukaryota; Metazoa; Chordata; Mammalia; Primates; Hominidae.
CAAAACCAACUUGAACAACAUAGUAAGAACCCAUCUCUACAAAAAAUUAAAAAAUUAAAAAUUUAGCCUAGGCACAGUGGCGUGUGUCUGUAGUCCUAGCUACUUGGGAGGCUGAGGCAGGAGGAUCGCUUGAGCCCAGGAGUUCCAGGCUGCAGUGAGCUCAGUGGGUUUGCUCUUGACUGUGCCAUUGGUAUUUAUUUGCCAGUGAGUGUGUGGGGAGGAGGUGCCUCUUUGGAGGUGUGGAGAUGGAUCUUGGCCAGGUGGACUGGGAUGUCUACAUGCAGGACGGAGCAGCCCCUGGACGUGUGCAACAGACCAGGCUUGGGAAGAGUAAAGCUGGACCUGAGACCUACUAGCUCCACGUCUUCAUGUCUGACAUGGAAUUCCAAGGAGCCUGUGAAUUUUAAUCUGAAUAUGGGCUUCCAGGUCAUUAUGAAGGAACAUUAUGGCCGGGGAAUGGCUGGUUACGAGUCUUUUGUUUGAAAGGUUUAAUCUUUGCUUGUAGAUCUAGCCACUUACCACGAGGUGGCAAUAGCAACCU